UAGAGUUAUGGAAUGGCUCGGGUUGGAGGGGGCCUGAAGGAUCACCCAGUUCCAUCCCCCUGCUGCAGGCGGGGAUAACACCCACAAGAUCAGGUUGGCCAAAGCCCCAUCCAGCCUGGUCUUGAGGACCUCCAGGUAUGGGGCAUCCACAGCCUCUCUUGGCAGCCUGUUCCCAUGCCCCACCACGAUGAACGUUGCCAAACACUUGUGAUGCUGUGGGUAAAGUUGUGUGUUAUAAUCCCAGCAUGUAUGUGUGUGUCUGCUGGGUGAGUAUCUGACCUGUAUCGAUGUAAAUAAUCGGGGUGACAGCUGAAGGUCUAAUUGAACCUUUCAGGAUACUGCCAUCAAGUACAUGACGGAUGGCUGCUUGUUGAGGCAUAUUUUGGCCGACCCCCUUCUCAGCAAGUACAGUGUCAUCAUUCUGGAUGAAGCCCACGAGCGGAGCCUUAGCACUUCUGUUUUCAACUGAAGGUUCUGUAAGAGGUCUGCAUCUUGAAAUUACCUCUGU
RNAcentral lists this long non-coding RNA (508 nucleotides) under Anas platyrhynchos platyrhynchos (common mallard). RNAcentral describes it as "lncRNA (ENSAPLG00000027615.1)". Lineage: Eukaryota; Metazoa; Chordata; Aves; Anseriformes; Anatidae. The record is from RNAcentral.